This 490-nucleotide ribosomal RNA is filed under the name uncultured bacterium. RNAcentral describes it as "partial 16S ribosomal RNA". It matches the Rfam family "Bacterial small subunit ribosomal RNA", at positions 29 to 523 of the family's 1533-position model. The record is from RNAcentral.
AAUGAACGUUGGCGGCAUGGAUUAGGCAUGCAAGUCGAGCGAGAAGAGUUUUGAAGCUUGCUUUAGAACUCGGACAGCGGCGAAAGGGAGAGUAACGCGUAGUUAUGUGCCCUAGGGUCCGGAAUAGCCACGGGAAACUGUGGGUAAUGCCGGAUAAUAUCCCCGGAUCAAAGGUGUGAUUCCGCCCUAGGAGCAGACUGCGUCCUACUAGCUAGUUGGUGGGGUAAUGGCCCACCAAGGCAAUGAUGGGGAGCGGGUGGGAGAGCAUGACCCGUCUCACGGGGACUGAGACACUGCCCAGACACCUACGGGUGGCUGCAGUCGAGAAUCUUCGGCAAUGGGCGAAAGCCUGACCGAGCGAUGCCGCGUGCGGGAUGAAGGCCCUCGGGUUGUAAACCGCUGUCGUAGGGGAGGAAGGUUCCGUGAAGAGCGGGACUUGACCUAUCCUAGGAGGAAGUACGGGCUAAGUUCGUGCCAGCCGCCGCGGUAA